Conger conger (European conger) is the source of this 1849-nucleotide long non-coding RNA. RefSeq lists it as uncharacterized. The transcript is spliced from 3 exons. The record is from RefSeq and is a predicted model, not a curated record. NCBI's taxonomy places the organism in Eukaryota, Metazoa, Chordata, Actinopteri, Anguilliformes, Congridae.
GGAGUUACAAAUGCAGAGAAGAGAAUGUAUGAAUGUUUGCUGUAUGAAUGGUUGAUAAUACAUUUACAAAAAAUGACUACUGAAUACAAACCUUUCAAGACGCCAAGACGAAUCUGUGUUGAAACUAUCUAUGCUUCUUUAUAUAAUAGGUAAACUACAUUUUAAUCCUCUGUUUGAGUAUAAUUCUGUAAAAUGAAGGCAAUACUUGAAAAAAAUGUUUAUGCAUGAGUGAAGUUCAAUCUCAAUCGAGCCUGGAUUGAAUUAAUUUUAAAAAGCCGCACUCAGAGGUGGAUUUAUUCUGACCGUUAGAGUUUACUACUCUGAAAGAUAAAGACUCACGUUGGCACUUGGCAGGGAGGAGUGGUCGCUUUUCUAACAAGCCCUUUAUUUGUCCGAAUGGACCACGCCCCCGGCUAUUAUCCGAGGCCCGGCUUCAAAUAGAAUCCCGGACACAAUUUGAGGAUUUACGGUAAUUUAAAAAAGGCGGUGGAUUGAUUCUGACCGUUAGAGUUUACUGCUCUGAAAGAUAAAGACACAUGUUGGCAGGGAGAAGUGGUCGCUUUUCCAACAAGCCCUUCUCUGAGCAUAAUUACAGAACACAAAUAAUUCUGAUUCAACUGUGUUAUGUUUCAUAUUCACAAUAUUCAAAAUAAUUGAAUAUAUUAUAAAAUCACUAUUCAUAGACUGAAAUUGUUUCCUUAUUUGAGUGUUAGCUAUUGUGAGAUUUGUGAGAUAUUGUGGGCCAAACUAUUCACCUCCAGUUACACCCCCACCCUCCCUCCACAACAUACAUGUGCACCGCCCAUAACCCUGUCAGCAAUGCCUCCAGUGAUUCUACUGAUCUGGAAAAGUGCUUCACCUCAGGAUCACAAGGAAGAUGGAUUCCAGCCUUGUGUGCCUCAUCUAUUUUCAUUGUCUUCGGAGCACUGCUGUACAAUAUAAUACAAUAUAGUGCAAAUACAAUAUAAAAGUAAACCAAUUCAAGGUAAGCAUCCCCGCCCUCUGAUGAGUGGAAUCAGUAUUAUGCAGUUAGCUGAAACAAGUAAAGAUGUAAUUAAAUACCCUAACUUAUUAAAUGCUUCUUUUUUAGAGGCAGUCAUGGAGGAGGAGCCACCGUCUGCAAUGCCUUCUAUUGAUCCAGUAUAUGUGAGCAGGUCCUGUUCAGUUUAUCUCAGUAACAAAUGAUGGACCCUUUACACAGACUGAAUAUGCAAGCAUUAGGAAAGGCAAUGAGUAAUGUGAAGCAGUAUUCAAAUUAAAACAAUAACAACAAGCAUGCUUGAAAGAGAAGAUAUUUCAAGCUAUGUUAUUCUGUUGAACAAUCAGGUUUUCUAACAGUGGUGUAUCUCUUGUAACUAGUGAAAGGGCGAAUCUGCUUAAUUUCUUCACCCAGAAAUCAGAUUAAAUCAAAAAUACUUUUUUAUUGUAAAUCUUUUGUACAUUCCAGUGGAUGCUAGGUCUGAACAGAUGUAAAAUAUAACUUGUAAGAUUCAAUGGAUUUGCAUUGUUUUAUAUGAAUAGACUUAUGUAGUGAAAUAUGUCACAAAGCAUUUGAAAAAAGGGUGUAUAUUAUAAUGUGCACAGUGUCUGAAAGGGUUAAAGUAAUGACUACUUUGGAAGACGUUUAAUUUAGCUGGUUGUGUUCUGUUAUUUGUAUUUUGUAUCAUGCUCAUUUGGUGAAAAUGAGUGAAAACGAGGUACAUUUUAUAUAUUUAAAAUUUUUUUACAUAAAGCAUACAACAUAGUUAUAGACUAAAUGAUAUUGCGUAAAACUGUGUCUGUAUCAGCACUGAAUGUUUUGUACAAUAAGUUAGUUUCAUAACAAUAAAAAAGGAUUUUUUAAACCAAA